UGGGGAAUUUUGGACAAUGGGCGCAAGCCUGAUCCAGCAAUGCCGCGUGCAGGAUGAAGGCCUUCGGGUUGUAAACUGCUUUUGUACGGAGCGAAAAGGUCUGCCCUAAUACGGUGGGCUCAUGACGGUACCGUAAGAAUAAGCACCGGCUAACUACGUGCCAGCAGCCGCGGUAAUACGUAGGGUGCGAGCGUUAAUCGGAAUUACUGGGCGUAAAGCGUGCGCAGGCGGUUAUAUAAGACAGAGGUGAAAUCCCCGGGCUCAACCUGGGACCUGCAUUUGUGACUGUAUGGCUAGAGUACGGUAGAGAGGGAUGGAGUUCCGCGUGUAGCAGUGAAAUGCGUAGAUAUGCGGGGAAACACCGAUGGCGAAGGCAAUCCCCUGGACCUGUACUGACGCUCAUGCACGAGAGCGUGGGGGGCAAACA
This 427-nucleotide ribosomal RNA is filed under the name uncultured bacterium. RNAcentral's name for it is "bacterial SSU rRNA". It matches the Rfam family "Bacterial small subunit ribosomal RNA", at positions 355 to 774 of the family's 1533-position model. The record is from RNAcentral.